RNAcentral lists this long non-coding RNA (7124 nucleotides) under Populus trichocarpa (black cottonwood). Its description in RNAcentral is "long non-coding RNA (PTRI_LNC002621)". Lineage: Eukaryota; Viridiplantae; Streptophyta; Magnoliopsida; Malpighiales; Salicaceae. The record is from RNAcentral.
CAUCACUCUUUUUUUGUCUCUCCCCCAUUUUGGCAUAGAGGAUCAUCGCUUUACAGGGAAAAAUGGAAUUUUGUCAAGAUUCACGCAAUGGCAAUGGUUCACUAGGAUUUAACACUAAUGACCCUUUGAACUGGGGCAUGGCCGCAGAGUCACUAAAAGGAAGCCACCUAGAUGAGGUCAAGCGCAUGAUCGAGGAGUACAGGAAGCCUGUGGUCAAGCUAGGAGGUGAGACCCUGACCAUAGGCCAGGUAACUGCAAUUGCUAGCCGUGACGUUGGUGUCAUGGUGGAGUUGUCAGAGGAGGCUCGAGCUGGUGUCAAAGCCAGCAGUGACUGGGUCAUGGACAGCAUGAGCAAGGGCACAGACAGUUAUGGUGUUACUACUGGUUUUGGUGCAACCUCACAUAGAAGAACCAAGCAAGGUGGAGAGCUUCAAAAGGAGCUUAUAAGGUAAUCAAACUCAUGACAAAUCCCAAAAUUUACUUUACUUGUAUCUUAACUGCUAGUAAGGUAGCUUUUUUAAUUACUGUAUAUAUCACGCAGUUUUUUUUUUUGCCAUGAUAUUGUUAAUUUGUUACUUUAAAUAGGGGAUUGUUGGCUUGUUAGUAUUGAUAUUUCCCAGGAAAAAACAACUAAUGUCUUGUUAGAGACAAAAAAGGUCUUGUUGUGGACACGAUUCGUUCCUGUUUUAGUUGCUUCCACGUUCGACAACAUAUGUCUGCGUUAGCAGUUGAAUCAUUAAUCACAUAGACAAAUUGAUCUAAUCAUGUAACAAACAUAUUAACAAUUAUUAAUGUCUUUUUUUGGCCCUUUCAAAACAAUGGAAGCAAAGGGACGUUCUUUCAGUUAAUUGGAAUUUUGGAUCAUUACUGGCAAAAAUCCCAAGACAUAUAGCAAUAAUUAAUGAUCGAUUGUUAAGAUGGGAGAUGAUGUAUUGUGUCAUAAAGAUUAAAAAAAAAUUAAAAAUUAAAAUCUAAGGAGUUUUUGUUAGGGAGGAAGAUACUCCAAGUGCAUGUGAGCCUUAAUUUAUGAGGUGCUCCUUCACUAUCCUGGAAAAUGCCUGAAAUUAGCACGCACACGUUUCAUCAGCAGUCUUGUUAACUUGUUAUUGUUAGGUUGGUAAGUUGUACGUGGAAGUCCAGCAAGGACAAAAAAAAAUAGAGAGAGAGAGAUGAUGUGGUAGGUAGGUGAUCAGAUUAAAGCAGUGAAAUAAUUAAACUAUUAUAAAGGGUUGAAUAUUUCCAACCGGCCUAAUUAUAUUUAAAUUACGUAUCAAAGAUCAUUUAGGUGCCUGAAUUUUAAAUAAAAUGUUUUACUUUGUGUAUAUUUCCAAGUUGACUUGACUCGUUUUGUGUUAUUUAACCAUCUAAUAAAAAAUAUUCAAAGAGAAAAAGUCUAGGGUCCCGGACGGUAAACAUCAUUAAUUACUUGUAAUUUACUUCGUUAAUUAUGGUUUGCCAAUGUUAAGAAAGAGUGCAAGAAACUAUCCUAGCUGCUAGUAACAUUUUUUGGUUACAAAUUGUCACCUACACUACGCUGAGGUUCUUGCAAGAAUACCUAAUUAAAAAUGCUAUUACCAAAUAAACUUGUCACCUAAUUGUUUUUUUUUUUUGCUAAUUAAGGUUGUUGCUAAUGUGGUUUAUGGGAUUUUAUUUCACUAGGUUCUUGAAUGCCGGUAUCUUUGGGAAUGGCACGGAGUCUAGCCAUACAUUGCCUCGCUCGGCAACUAGGGCAGCUAUGUUGGUCAGAAUCAAUACCCUGCUUCAAGGUUAUUCAGGCAUAAGAUUUGAGAUGCUGGAAGCUAUCACCAAAUUGCUCAACCACAACAUCACCCCAUGUUUGCCACUCAGAGGAACAAUCACUGCCUCCGGUGACCUUGUCCCAUUGUCCUACAUUGCUGGGCUCUUGACAGGCAGGCCUAAUUCAAAGGCAGUUGGACCCAAUGGAGAGCCCCUGAGCCCUGCUGAAGCCUUUACACAAGCUGGGAUUGAUGGCGGCUUUUUUGAGUUGCAGCCGAAGGAGGGUCUAGCACUAGUGAAUGGUACUGCAGUGGGUUCCGGUCUAGCUUCAAUGGUGCUUUUUGAGACUAAUGUGUUGGCAAUCCUAUCAGAAGUUUUGUCAGCAAUCUUUGCUGAAGUUAUGCAAGGAAAACCUGAGUUUACUGAUCACCUCACACAUAAAUUGAAGCAUCAUCCUGGCCAAAUUGAAGCUGCCGCCAUCAUGGAACAUAUUUUAGAUGGCAGCGCCUAUGUUAAAGAAGCUCAGAAAUUACAUGAGAUCGAUCCUCUACAGAAACCUAAACAAGACCGAUACGCUCUUCGAACAUCUCCACAAUGGCUAGGCCCCCUGAUCGAAGUGAUUAGAACAUCAACGAAAAUGAUCGAACGAGAAAUCAACUCUGUCAAUGACAAUCCUUUGAUUGACGUGUCGAGGAAUAAGGCUCUACAUGGAGGGAAUUUCCAGGGGACCCCUAUUGGUGUUUCAAUGGACAACACUCGUUUGGCCAUUGCCUCAAUUGGCAAACUCAUGUUUGCACAGUUCUCUGAACUUGUUAACGACUUUUACAACAAUGGAUUGCCUUCAAACCUCACUGGUGGCCGCAAUCCAAGCUUGGAUUACGGGUUCAAAGGUGCCGAAAUUGCCAUGGCAUCUUACUGUUCGGAGCUCCAAUUCCUUGCCAAUCCUGUCACCAAUCAUGUCCAGAGUGCCGAGCAACACAACCAAGAUGUCAACUCCCUGGGCUUGAUUUCUUCAAGAAAAACUGCUGAAGCUGUUGACAUAUUGAAGCUCAUGUCUACCACUUUCUUGGUUGGUCUAUGCCAAGCCGUUGACCUGAGGCACAUAGAGGAGAACCUGAAGAGCACAGUCAAGAACACUGUCAGCCAAGUUGCCAAGAGAGUCUUGACAAUGGGCUUCAAUGGCGAGCUUCACCCUUCACGAUUCUGUGAAAAAGACUUGCUCAAGGUUGUUGACAGAGAACAUGUAUUUUCCUACAUUGACGAUCCUUGCAGUGCAACCUAUCCAUUAAUGCAAAAUCUAAGGCAAGUACUAGUCGAGCAUGCCUUGGUGAAUGGCGAAAGGGAAAGGAAUUCAACCACUUCGAUUUUCCAAAAGAUCGGAUCUUUUGAGGAAGAACUGAAGACCCUUUUGCCUAAAGAAGUGGAGAGUGCUAGACUUGAAGUUGAGAAUGGAAAUCCAGCUAUUCCAAACAGGAUCAAGGAAUGCAGGUCAUACCCCCUGUACAAGUUUGUGAGGGAAGAAUUGGGAACUAGUUUGCUAACAGGUGAGAAGGUCAAAUCGCCCGGCGAGGAGUUCGACAAGGUUUUCACAGCUAUCUGUGCAGGGAAGUUGAUUGAUCCCUUGCUGGAAUGCUUGAAGGAAUGGGAUGGUGCUCCUCUUCCUAUUUGCUAAGCUAUGGAUGUCCUGUAAUCAUCUUUCUUUUUUCUUUUUUCUUACUAAGCUUACUUGCCAUGUCAAUUUGUUCGUAACAAGCAAAGUGUAUGCCUCUGUUGUCUAUUUACUUUCAAAUCAUUAAAGAAUCUUUCUUUGUACAACAAUAAAUAUACCAUCCUAAAUGAAAAAGAUAAGUAUUUUUUGCUGUCAAAUUUCUCUACACUACCACUCCUCAAAUGCUUAGCAGUGCAGAUUUCAAAUGAUUGGGCCAAUAUCUUAAGCUCUUUAAUUGCAUUUAAAUCUAAUAAACUUGCAAGCAAGACCACCUUUUUGGAUUUACAAAGAUAUAAUCUUUAGGAUUUUUUUUUUUUAGAAUAGCUAAUGUUCUUGUUCAUAAAGGGCUGUCAUGUCAUGUUCAUGAUUUCUUGACAAUGCAUGUUAACAGUGAAGCCACAAUAAAAACCCACCUGGAACUGCCAUUAGAUUCAUGAUCCUACACUUACCAAAUUUUACUCUCUUUUUUUCGGUAACCAUUGCAAAAAAAAAAAAAAAAAAAAAAAACCUUAUUUACCUGAAAGGGUGGAGAAAUAUCGAUCAUAUACAAAUUCGAGAAUUGAAUUUAAAAUAUUUAUCACCACCUUUUUCCUUUCUUUCUCUUGUCUUUAUUGACAAAGAAACGAGGAGCAGUUGAUGAGGGCAACACCUACCUCUUCGCAAAAGCAUGCUGCAAAAAAAAAAAACGAACAUGAUUUCAGAACAAACAUAAUUAAAGCACUAGAACUAAAUAACUUUCUGGUGGAGGAAAUUCAUCUACUUUGAUCUAGCGAGGUGCAGACCACUCAACUUUGAGGACGAGAUUAUCAUAGCCAUAUCCAUGAGAUUGUCGAUGGCUCUCUCCGAGCAUCUUCCUUGUUAACAAGAUGAACACAACCAAAACCUUUGUUCAACCAGUGACAGCGAACACUCGAGUUGUUGGUCCAAAUGGUCGGUAGAGAUCAUUCAAGUCACUUUCUCGAGUGUCCUCUAAGAGGCACAUGGCUGUCCACCUGUCUUGCCACAAGUCCUACACUGUAAUAUGAGAGUUGCACCUCUGUUUCCAAGCUGUGCUGGAGAGUCCCCUGCUUUCUUGGUUUCGCCGUAUGCUCCUCUUCCUGUUUGCAAUUUCAACAAGGGACGUGUUAAGUAAGAUUAGUGUUGGUUAUUGGGUUAGGCCUGUUGUGUUUAUGAUGGAUGGACCUGGCUCAAGUUAUUAAAGGAGUUGCUAAAAAAAAUAAUCGUUUUCUCUAAUUAUAUAUAAAGAUAUAAUCCAUAUAGAAUGAUAAAUUUUUAUUAUUAAAAAAAUAUGAUUUUUUUUUUUUUCCAUCUUGAUUCUCUAUAUUAACUUGAUAAAAUUUAUAAAAAUAUAUGUACCGUGAAAUAUCAUUUUAAUUCUAGUAAUUAAAAUGAUAUUAAAGUAAUUGAUUUAGAAAUAAAAAAAAAAAUUCUUACAAGUCAGUUUUCUUUCCGAGGUUUUUAAUUUCAAAUUAAGGAUUGCGGCUUGAUUUUAAUUUCAACGGCACCACCGCAUACUUUUCAUCCAGCCACACCAACAACCUUUCACUUUCGAUCUUUUCUCUCUCCACUGCGUGCAGCUAGCAGCCCAGUCACGUUUAUCUUAAUCAUUAUUCUAUUCUGAAUUUGGAGAAAAAAUCAGAGGAUAAAAAUAAGCUUGACUAAUUUCACUUUGACCAUACUAUGUGUAUGGAGUGAGCCAGUGAGGCUCUCACCAACCACACACGUAGCUUAUCCAAGAGUUUGACAAAUUAAUUAAAGCCUGUAAGCUUGAUCUCUCUAUGAUUUUCUCAUUGUCUUCACCUACCCUCCCUGGAUGAGAACCACCACUGUGGUUUGUGGUGAACAAGACCCGGUCUAACCACAACAACUCCUGGCUACUAUUUUCUUCUUCUUUUUUUUACAUUUUCUUGAAGAAUAUGUGCACUGUGGUGUUCUCCACUGAUAUAUCUUUUUUAAUUGAUGCAGGCUGCUGGAUAUUAUCUACCAGGAACCUCACGAUACUGGGAGCUAGUAAAAGAUAAAAAUAAUAGAGAUAAGAUAUACAUGAUUUCAUAUAUUUCUUGUUUUAAAAAUAUAUAAAUUUAUCUUAAAAACUGUUACCAUAGAGACAUGUUUAUUUUAUUUGUGUAAAUAAAUAUGUUUCUUCCUAUCUUUUUUAUUACGAUUGCUCAUAAUAAAGACUUUAUUAUGAGCAAUCGUCCAUUAAUUCAAGAGGUUAAUGAUCAUAUCACGUGUAAUUAAUGCUGAAUUGAUCAUGGGAAACACGUAAGAUGUUUCCUCCUCAAACAGCAAACCUUAAACUAGUUGCUUUGAAGAAAAAAAAAAUAGGGUUUGGAUCAUAAAUUAACUUGACAGGUUUUUUACAACUCUACUCAGAGCAGGUUCAAACUAUCGGGCAAGCAGGGUUUAAUUAAUAAAGGUGGCUCUGUAUGCUCUGCUUUUCUUCUCGAAAGAGAGAAUGGUAUGGGUAAACUUUCAGGAUGAGAAAUAUAUCCUUUUCUUUGUUGUCUUCGUAGGUUUUUUUUGGAUUCGUUGAUUUUUUCUUCAUUAUGGCUAUAUCCUAUAUAUCAGCCAGUGACUUGGCCCUGGCUUUCACUUGUUCAAACCCUACGUUCGAUAUAAAUAUUUUUAAAUGGUUAAACAGUAAUACCAAAUAAUCAGGGCAGAACCAGGGGAGGGGAGGCAACCUGUAAAAGAUUUUAGAUUUUAUUAUUUUUUAGUGUCUAAAUAUAGAAUAAUAUACUAUUUUUUUUAUUUUAAAUUUUAAAUAGAGGGAUUUUCUAAUAAUAAAUUAUAUCUUGAGUUUUGUCUACACCCCAACAAAUAUUAUUUUAAUAACGGUUUUUUUUUAUAAAUUUAGUCAUCAAGCCCACUGUUCAGGCCGUUUUAACACCCAAUUAAGUAAAUCUCAGUAGGACUAGCCGAAAGAAGCACAUGAUUACAAUUAAUAAAUUUUACUUGAGUUUUCUUCUAUAAUAUUUAUGCCUGGCUUUGAUCCAGCCGCCAUGAUUCUUGGAUUUACCAUGCACUCACGAUGAAAAGUCACCACUUAAGUGCAUGCUACUUACCACAACAUCCCAAGUGUCACAAUCCCACCCAUUGAAUCCCAUGAUGAUCCAACGGCCACAUACACUUUUCAACCAGCACAUCGGCCAACCCACCCCAUCCUUCUCUAUUUAAAGCACCUAAAUUUUGGUGAAUAAACUCAGGAUUUUUGGGUAACCUGAAAAUUCCUACAUGCAUUUAGAGCCUCGCAACUUCAGUUUUUUUUACUAUACAACCCUCAUAUAAUUUUUUACGCCAGAAAAUUCUUUGUGCUCACACAUCCGUUCUUCUCUCUCAUUUUCUCUUUGAUCAUACCAAUUGAUCCAUCACUCUUUUUUUGUCUCUCCUCCAUUUUGGCAUAGAGGAUCAUCGCUUUACAGGAAAAAAUGGAAUUUUGUCAAGAUUCACGCAAUGGCAAUGGUUCACUAGGAUUUAACACUAAUGACCCUUUGAACUGGGGCAUGGCGGCAGAGUCACUAAAAGGAAGCCACCUAGAUGAGGUCAAGCGCAUGAUCGAGGAGUACAGGAAGCCUGUGGUCAGGCUAGGAGGUGAGACCCUGACCAUAGGCCAGGUAACUGCAAUUGCUAGCCGUGACGUUGGUGUCAUGGUGGAGCUGUCAGAGGAGGCUCGAGC